GACGAACGCUGGCGGCGUGCUUAACACAUGCAAGUCGAACGGAAAGGCCCUGCUUUUGUGGGGUGCUCGAGUGGCGAACGGGUGAGUAACACGUGAGUAACCUGCCCUUGACUUUGGGAUAACUUCAGGAAACUGGGGCUAAUACCGGAUAGGAGCUCCUGCUGCAUGGUGGGGGUUGGAAAGUUUCGGCGGUUGGGGAUGGACUCGCGGCUUAUCAGCUUGUUGGUGGGGUAGUGGCUUACCAAGGCUUUGACGGGUAGCCGGCCUGAGAGGGUGACCGGCCACAUUGGGACUGAGAUACGGCCCAGACUGCUACGGGAGGCAGCAGUGGGGAAUAUUGCACAAUGGGCGGAAGCCUGAUGCAGCAACGCCGCGUGCGGGAUGACGGCCUUCGGGUUGUAAACCGCUGUCGCCUGUGACGAAGCGUGAGUGACGGUAAUGGGUAAAGAAGCACCGGCUAACUACGUG
Molecule: ribosomal RNA, 468 nt
Filed under: uncultured bacterium
Lineage: Bacteria
Description: partial 16S ribosomal RNA
Rfam family: Bacterial small subunit ribosomal RNA
Source: RNAcentral